This 373-nucleotide ribosomal RNA is filed under the name uncultured bacterium. RNAcentral's name for it is "bacterial SSU rRNA". It matches the Rfam family "Bacterial small subunit ribosomal RNA", at positions 527 to 898 of the family's 1533-position model. The record is from RNAcentral.
GGGGGGGGCAAGCGUUGUUCGGAAUUACUGGGCGUAAAGGGCUCGUAGGCGGCCAACUAAGUCGGACGUGAAAUCCCUCGGCUUAACCGGGGAACUGCGUCCGAUACUGGAUGGCUUGAGUUUGGGAGAGGGAUGCGGAAUUCCAGGUGUAGCGGUGAAAUGCGUAGAUAUCUGGAGGAACACCGGUGGCGAAGGCGGCAUCCUGGACCAACACUGACGCUGAUGAGCGAAAGCCAGGGGAGCAAACGGGAUUAGAUACCCCGGUAGUCCUGGCCCUAAACGAUGAAUGCUUGGUGUGACGGGUAUCGAUCCCUGUCGUGCCGAAGCUAACGCAUUAAGCAUUCCGCCUGGGGAGUACGGUCGCAAGGCUGAA